CUGUAAAGCCAGCCACUCUGAUAGGCCGAGGCAACAUGCGAGCCAUGUGGCGCGAGCGGCGCGAUUCAGCGUGUUUUUCACAUGGUUGGUUUUUCAAGCAGAAAAUAACGGCACAGAUAUUCAGCCUACAUCGCCGUCAUGAUCACUGGUGAACCCAUCUCCUCUAAAUUGAAGGUGCUGUAAGGAGUGAGGUGCCCUUCCCUGAUAGGAGAAAAAAACACCUAAACAAGGUAACGUUACGUGUUGUGAUCUCAUCCUCUUUUCUUUUGAUCAGGCCCCAGUCAAAUAAACAGUAAAACUAAACUAAUUUGGUAUUAACGUCUGUGUUUACGGAUGACUUUGAGAGUAAGACAGUGGUGAAAACGCCAAAGAGAACUGGAACAUGGCAUGUUAUAUUCAUAAAUGUUUGGCCAAGUUUAAAUGUUACUAGGUCCAGUGUUCGAUUCACCAUCAGGUCCUGCACAGAGAUUGUUCGAGGCACACCUUCAGGUCCAGACAUGAUGGGUCACGGCACGUGCGAGGCACACAGUCUUCAAAUCACUGCUAUUACUUUGAAUCUGAAUCAGAAAGAGCUUUAUUAUCUAGUGUGCUUGCACACAUAAGGAAUUUGUUUGUGUGUUGAGGCUUCCAGUGCACAUAUACUAACACAACAGGAAACGUAUUAUAAUUACAAAAUUAUUUUAAUUUCAGGUAUAACCAUAUGGAACUAAUAAAUCCAUGAAGACCGAUCCCGUAGUGAUGCCCCCAGUCCCCCGCCCAGGUCCAGACAUGAUAAAAGAGUACAGCGCAGUGAUCUCAGCACAUGACAGGCACGAUGCAGUGACUGAGACUGGGAGAUGCAGUGACUGAGACUGUGUUCCAGAAAAAUGUCCUGAAACUACUGGUCGACAUCCGCCAUCGCCUGAAGGAAACCAGAAGGGAUCAUGAAAUUUGGUUCCAUAGCCACUGAGGUGUAUGUACAUCAAGGUGAACGUGUGUGAGCACCUCAAGCACGCGUCGCAAAGACUUGGAGGUGGAGGAUUCACUACGCCCCGAUGAGCCUACAGGACUUGAAUUAAGAGUUUUAAAGGGAUAGUUCACUUUAAAAUUAAUUUUUGAUAUUUUUUAGCUUACCUCA
Pimephales promelas (fathead minnow) is the source of this 1117-nucleotide non-coding RNA. The record is from RefSeq and is a predicted model, not a curated record. Lineage: Eukaryota; Metazoa; Chordata; Actinopteri; Cypriniformes; Leuciscidae.